GACGAACGCUGGCGGCGUGCUUAACACAUGCAAGUCGAACGGAAAGGCCCUGCUCUUGUGGGGUUCUCGAUUGGCGAACGGGUGAGUAACACGCGUGUAUCCUGCCCUUGUCUUUCGGAUAACUUCACGAAACUGGGGCUAAUAUCGGAUAUAAGCUCCUGCUGCAUGUUGGGGGUUGGAAAGUUUCGGCGGUUGGGGAUGGACUCGCGGCUUAUCCGCUAGUUAGUCGAGUAGUGGAUUACCAAGGGUGAGACGGAUAGCCGGCCUGGGAGGGUUACCGGGCACAUGGGGACUAAGAGAGGGCGCAGAAUGCUACGGGAGGCAGCGGUCGAGAGUAUGACACAAUGGGCGGGAGCCUGAGACAGCGGCGCCGGGAGCGGGAUGACGGCCUUCGGGUUAAAAACCGAUUUCGCCUGUGACGUAGAGGGAGUGACGGUAAUGAGUAAAGAAGCAACGGCUAACUACGUG
RNAcentral lists this ribosomal RNA (468 nucleotides) under uncultured bacterium. RNAcentral describes it as "partial 16S ribosomal RNA". It matches the Rfam family "Bacterial small subunit ribosomal RNA", at positions 28 to 507 of the family's 1533-position model. The record is from RNAcentral.